UGGGGAAUUUUGCACAAUGGGGGCAACCCUGAUGCAGCGACGCCGCGUGAUUUAGAAGGCCUUCGGGUUGUAAAAAUCUUUUGUAUGGGAAGAAAAUGACAGUACCAUACGAAUAAGGACCGGCUAAUUACGUGCCAGCAGCCGCGGUAAUACGUAAGGUCCGAGCGUUGACCGGAAUCAUUGGGCGUAAAGGGUACGUAGGCGGAUAAGCAAGUUAGAAGUGAAAUCCUAUAGCUCAACUAUAGUAAGCUUUUAAAACUGCUCAUCUUGAGGUAUGGAAGGGAAAGUGGAAUUCCUAGUGUAGCGGUGAAAUGCGCAGAUAUUAGGAGGAAUACCGGUGGCGAAGGCGACUUUCUGGCCAUAAACUGACGCUGAGGUACGAAAGCGUGGGUAGCAAACAGG
RNAcentral lists this ribosomal RNA (402 nucleotides) under Actinomycetes bacterium. RNAcentral's name for it is "Actinobacteria bacterium partial 16S ribosomal RNA". It matches the Rfam family "Bacterial small subunit ribosomal RNA", at positions 355 to 776 of the family's 1533-position model. The record is from RNAcentral. Lineage: Bacteria; Bacillati; Actinomycetota; Actinomycetes.